RNAcentral lists this ribosomal RNA (510 nucleotides) under uncultured bacterium. Its description in RNAcentral is "partial 16S ribosomal RNA". It matches the Rfam family "Bacterial small subunit ribosomal RNA", at positions 28 to 507 of the family's 1533-position model. The record is from RNAcentral.
GACGAACGCUGGCGGCGUGCUUAACACAUGCAAGUCGAACGAAGAGCGAUGGAAGCUUGCUUCUAUCACUCUUAGUGGCGAACGGGUGAGUAACGCGUAAUCAACCUGCCCUUCAGAGGGGGACAACAGUUGGAAACGACUGCUAAUACCGCAUACGAUCUAAUCUCGGCAUCGAGGAUAGAUGAAAGGUGGCCUCUACAUGUAAGCUAUCACUGAAGGAGGGGAUUGCGUCUGAUUAGCUAGUUGGAGGGGUAACGGCCCACCAAGGCGAUGAUCAGUAGCCGGUCUGAGAGGAUGAACGGCCACAUUGGGACUGAGACACGGCCCAGACUCCUACGGGAGGCAGCAGUGGGGAAUCUUCCGCAAUAGACGAAAGUCUGACGGAGCAACGCCGCGUGAGCGAUGACGGCCUUCGGGUUGUAAAGCUCUGUUAAUCGGGACGAAAGGCCUUCUUGCGAAUAGUGAGAAGGAUUGACGGUACCGGAAUAGAAAGCCACGGCUAACUACGUG